This 330-nucleotide ribosomal RNA is filed under the name uncultured Shuttleworthella sp. RNAcentral's name for it is "uncultured Shuttleworthia sp. partial 16S ribosomal RNA". The record is from RNAcentral. Lineage: Bacteria; Bacillati; Bacillota; Clostridia; Lachnospirales; Lachnospiraceae.
GGAGUUUGGGCCGUGUCUCAGUCCCAAUGUGGCCGGUCACCCUCUCAGGUCGGCUACUGAUCGUCGCUUUGGUGGGCCGUUACCCCGCCAACUGGCUAAUCAGACGCGGGACCAUCCCAUACCGUCGGAGCUUUUCACACUGGAUGAUGCCAUCCCGUGCGCUUAUGCGGUAUUAGCAGCCGUUUCCGGCUGUUAUCCCCCUGUAUGAGGUAGGUUUCCCACGCGUUACUCACCCGUCCGCCACUCAGUCAUCUCUUGCUUCACCCCGAAGGGAUCCACAAAAGAGCUUCGUUCGACUUGCAUGUGUUAAGCACGCCGCCAGCGUUCAUC